Melospiza georgiana is the source of this 1625-nucleotide long non-coding RNA. RefSeq lists it as uncharacterized. The record is from RefSeq and is a predicted model, not a curated record. The transcript is spliced from 3 exons. NCBI's taxonomy places the organism in Eukaryota, Metazoa, Chordata, Aves, Passeriformes, Passerellidae.
CCUGCAGCAAUAGCCCUUUGCAUUUUGAAGCGAGGGUGUUGGUGUAACUUGGUUCUGCAUUGAGAAGUGCGAGGGUUUGUGAUGACUCCUCAGAGGGAAGCUCUGCAAAGGUUGUGGCAGUGACUCCCCACCCUCAGGAAGGUUACAGCGGAUAAUGCCACAAGUUUUGCAAGAAUAAAGAGCUUUUUCUUACUGUUCUAAGAAGGUUUUUUGCUAGAAUAAGCAAACAAGAAUUGGACCUGACUUCAGGUCCCUCUGCUCCCACAGCUAUCCUCACUGGGGCUGCAACUGCCCCUGGGGAGAUAUGGCUCUCAGCCAGUCGUCCUUAAAGGAGAAGUGUUAGUUUUGCAUGUAACUGUGACCUAUUUUAAAAUUUUUGCUAUAUAUACGAAUUUACUCUUUAUAACAGAUCCAUGGACCCUUUGGAGUGCAUAUGAUGGAGAGCCAGUGGUCAGCCCUUAGAGUCAUGUUUAGAAAACACCAUCUUUGUUUGUUUUACAUGUUUAUAAUUGUCUCUGACUAUAUUAUCAUUUGUGAAUUUCCCCAGUAGCUUUCAAAGUAAUGUUGGUUUGUCUUGAUAGUAACACUGCUAAAAAGCGCUUAAGAUGUCAAAUACAAGAGCAGUUGUUUGCUUCUUCUGGCUACUACAACCUACCAGAUAUGUAAAUCAUGACCCAUAUUGCUACAGCUUCUGAAAUCAAAGUAAAGCCAAAUAAUGCAUAGCCCAGCAUAGACAUAUUCCCUAAUGACACAGAAGUGUGGUGCUCCAGCCCCCCAUUUUAUGGGAGAAAAGGAGCAUGUAUGAUGAGAGGUCAGUGCCAACUUCUCACUUCCUCAGCAGUGACUGCAGUUGGUGUGGGACAGUCUGCUCCUUCCAGGCGUUGCUCAGAGGUGGAUCCUGUUCAGAAACCCCUUCUCUGCCCCCAUGGAACAGAGCGCUAUGGCACCUUCACAUGGAACCAUGCUCAACUGGAUUGUCACAGAUUUGCCUCUGGGGCCAACCUGAGCUGCAGCAGAGCAUGGAGAAGACAGUUUCAGAAGCUGAGAUGUGUCUGUGUACCCUUCACAGAAGCAGCACUUCAGAAACAGUUCAUGGUACAGAAGAGAUGGCAUAUUUCUUUUAACAAUGGGGUGUUUAAGGCCUGGUUCUGCGAAGUACACUGGAAGAAAACAGUGAGAACAGGAGAACCACAAGGAAAGCCACUAAGUGUCUCACUGACACCUGUAUGGGGAUCCUCCUAGUGAAGAGUGUAAUGGUGAAGGUGACGGAGAGAGCAGAGGAGAAUUACCCAAACCCCUGUCGGGUGACACGGCAGCGGUGAGAAGGAGCCUGCGGCCCUUCCCUGCCUGCUCCAUCUGGCCUGUCCAGGUCUGAACAGCCAGCACACGGACACCGGGAGGGUGCCGCUGAGCGGUGCUCGCACACGCAAACAAAAGGCACCUGGGAAUUCCUUUUAGCUAACUGUGGCCAAUGUUGUUCUUGAAGGAAAAAAGGAAUAAGUACAUGCUUGACACUUAAUGAAAAUAUCAGUGUAUUUGUGCCCAACAUACUGGAAUAUUGUUCAGCACUAAUUCAACAUCGCAAAAAUAUUAUCAGUGUAACGCUGGCAAGGCCAUUGUGUGAU